RNAcentral lists this transfer-messenger RNA (369 nucleotides) under Candidatus Competibacteraceae. RNAcentral's name for it is "Competibacter_A sp002433805 Standard tmRNA". It matches the Rfam family "transfer-messenger RNA". From Rfam's summary of the family: Bacterial tmRNA, also known as 10Sa RNA or SsrA, is named for its dual tRNA and mRNA-like properties. Lineage: Bacteria; Pseudomonadati; Pseudomonadota; Gammaproteobacteria. The record is from RNAcentral. RNAcentral also lists the same sequence under 2 other names.
GGGGGCGAUCCGGUUUCGACGUGGAUUGCAAAACCUAAGGCGCAUGCCGAGGAUGCAGCUCGCCUCGUUAAACUGGCUGCAAAUUAUAGUUGCCAACGACGACAGCUACGCUCUGGCGGCUUAAAGCCCGCCAGCCUCUGACCGGAACUUGCUUGUGAGGUCCGGAGCCUUUCGGGGCGCUUCAGGGGUCGACUCAACAUAAGCUCGCGACCGAUCCUGUCCGGGGGUGAAGCGCUAAAACUUACCGGAACCGCCGUUCGACGCCCUGCCGGUCGGGUUGCGAAAGGUUAAAUCAAAGACCAGGCUAAGCAUGUAGGGCCGAGGGCGGAGGAUUUGCGGACGGGGGUUCGAUUCCCCCCGCCUCCAUCG